RNAcentral lists this unclassified non-coding RNA (205 nucleotides) under Hevea brasiliensis (rubber tree). Lineage: Eukaryota; Viridiplantae; Streptophyta; Magnoliopsida; Malpighiales; Euphorbiaceae. The record is from RNAcentral.
CCGCUCCAUUAACAACUGCAAUGUUCUUGCGGUCUCUGGCAUGUCCACAUCUCCAGAAUCUGCCAUAGAAAUCCUCGACACCUGGCUCAAUACACCUUUCAAAGCCCCUUGUCCUGCUUCUAAUUUCGCUCCGUGGAGCGAAGAAAUAUCUUCUUUCCUGGAAAAUUCCCUUGCUGAAAUGCCAAAAAUUGGACAAGAGGAAAAA